UCCUUGAGGAAAAGUCUGCGUCUCUCUGUGUUGCUCAGGCUGCACUGCAGUGUCUAUUCACAGGCGCGAUCCCACUACUGAUCGGCACGGGGGCUUUGACCUGCUCCGUCUCCGACCUGGGCCGGUCAAAGCCCCCGUGCUGAUCAGUAGUGGGAUCGCGCCUGUGAAUAGACACUGCAGUGCAGCCUGAGCGACACAGAGAGACGCAGACUUU
Danio rerio (zebrafish) is the source of this 214-nucleotide non-coding RNA. The record is from RefSeq and is a predicted model, not a curated record. NCBI's taxonomy places the organism in Eukaryota, Metazoa, Chordata, Actinopteri, Cypriniformes, Danionidae.